RNAcentral lists this ribosomal RNA (305 nucleotides) under uncultured bacterium. Its description in RNAcentral is "bacterial SSU rRNA". It matches the Rfam family "Bacterial small subunit ribosomal RNA", at positions 337 to 635 of the family's 1533-position model. The record is from RNAcentral.
UCCUACGGGACGCAGCAGUAGGGAAUUUUCGUCAAUGGGCGCAAGCCUGAACGAGCAAUGCCGCGUGAACGAGGAAGGUCUUCGGAUCGUAAAGUUCUGUUGAAGGGGAAAAAGAGCGGAGAGAGGAAAUGGUCUCCGAUUGAUAUUACCCUUCGAGGAAGUCACGGCUAACUACGUGCCAGCAGCCGCGGUAAUACGUAGGUGGCGAGCGUUAUCCGGAAUGAUUGGGCGUAAAGGGUGCGUAGGCGGCCUGCUAGGUCUGGAGGGAAAGGUACCGGCCCAACCGGUACAUGCUCUGGAAACUG